CCUACGGGAGACAGCAGUGAGGAAUAUUGGUCAAUGGGCGCGAGACUGAACCAGCCAAGUAGCGUGAAGGAUGACUGCCCUACGGGUUGUAAACUGCUUUUAUAAAGGAAUAAAGUGAGGCACGUGUGCCUUUUUGUAUGUACCUUAUGAAUAAGGAUCGGCUAACUCCGUGCCAGCAGCCGCGGUAAUACGGAGGAUCCGAGCGUUAUCCGGAUUUAUUGGGUUUAAAGGGAGCGUAGAUGGGUUGUUAAGUCAGUUGUGAAAGGUUGCGGCUCAACCGUAAAAUUGCAAGUGAUACUGGCAGUCUUGAGUGCAGUGGAGGUAGGCGGAAUUCGUGGUGUAGCGGUGAAAUGCUUAGAUAUCACGAAGAACUCCGAUUGCGAAGGCAGCUUACUAAACUGCUACUGACGUUGAUGCUCGAAAGUGUGGGUAUCGAACAGGAUUAGAUACCCGAGUAGUC
This 460-nucleotide ribosomal RNA is filed under the name uncultured bacterium. Its description in RNAcentral is "partial 16S ribosomal RNA". It matches the Rfam family "Bacterial small subunit ribosomal RNA", at positions 338 to 795 of the family's 1533-position model. The record is from RNAcentral.